Molecule: ribosomal RNA, 492 nt
Filed under: uncultured bacterium
Lineage: Bacteria
Description: partial 16S ribosomal RNA
Rfam family: Bacterial small subunit ribosomal RNA
Source: RNAcentral
AGUGAACGCUGGCGGUAGGCCUAACACAUGCAAGUCGAACGGCAGCACAGUAAGAGCUUGCUCUUACGGGUGGCGAGUGGCGGACGGGUGAGGAAUACAUCGGAAUCUACUUUUUCGUGGGGGAUAACGUAGGGAAACUUACGCUAAUACCGCAUACGACCUACGGGUGAAAGCAGGGGAUCUUCGGACCUUGCGCGAUUGAAUGAGCCGAUGUCGGAUUAGCUAGUUGGCGGGGUAAAGGCCCAACAAGGCGACGAUCCGUAGCUGGUCUGAGAGGAUGAUCAGACACACUGGAACUGAGACACGGUCCAGACUCCUACGGGGGGCAGCAGUGGGGAAUAUUGCACAAUGGGGGAAAGCCUGAUCCAGCCAUACCGCGUGGGUGAAGAAGGCCUUCGGGUGGUAAAGCCCUGUUGUUGGGAAAGAAAAGCAGCAGGUUAAUACCCCGCUGUUCUGACGGUACCCAAAGAAUAAGCACCGGCUAACUUCGUG